This is a long non-coding RNA of Manis pentadactyla (Chinese pangolin), 7255 nucleotides long. RefSeq lists it as uncharacterized. The transcript is spliced from 3 exons. The record is from RefSeq and is a predicted model, not a curated record. Lineage: Eukaryota; Metazoa; Chordata; Mammalia; Pholidota; Manidae.
GCAUUGCGCCGGCAGCACUGGGCCAAUGAGGGCUCAGCAGAGGCAUUUCCGGGCGAGACGACGGCGCCUGGGCGGGCCUUCCUGCGGCGUCUUCCGGCGGCAUUUUGUAAACUUGGGAAGGCGGCGUGCGGCAGACGUCGGAGUCCUGGGCGGGCCUGGGCAGGAGACCGCCGUGCCCGCUGCUCUGAGGCGGGUCAGAGGCUCGUGGCGGGCCCAGCGGGCAUCACUCGGGCUUGCUCUGCUACUGGGCCGGCCUGCGGACACGGAGCCUGGUACCUCUGCUCCCUUCCCCGCCCCGCCCACUGACCCCGGCGGCUCCGUUUGAGGUAAAGGGCUGGCAGAUGAGCCACCUUCUGAGCAGGAUAUGCCAUGGGAGUAUCUGUCUACCCAGAAGGCCUGUUUCUGGGAGAUGGGUAGACUGGGCACAGAAGAUGACUUGCAUCUUAGCUGAGGACCUGCACCAGCGAACCCUGGGCAGAAGCUGUGUGGAGCGUAUGGGGAAUCUCACAGGUUACCGGGAGCAGCCCCGCGGAGAGAAACUCUUCAGAAAGGGUGGGACAUGCCUCCUGCAUGCAGAGCUGCCCAGUCAGUGUGUCAGAGGAGCCCUUCCCCUGCCAGGAGGCGGCUUUCCGCCGUGGCCCUCCAGCACCGGCCUGUGCACAGCUGAGGGUGCGGGACUGUCGCUUUGGAUCAGGCGCAGUGAAUGAGGGAAGCCUUGUCACGUAGACUUCUCAGCACCAGGGUCCACACUGGAGAAAGAGGCCCUAUGAGUGCAACGAAUGUUGGAAAACCUUCAGCUGCAACAAACCUACUGUCCAGCAGCAGCCGGCAUCAGUGGGUGUGGUCUGUGGCCUAAAGCUCCCGUUCUCAAACCACCGGAGUCCACGCUGGGGCACGCACAGUGCAGGGGAUGUAGGCGGUUGUUUCAGUCAGAGCUUUGGCCUCCCUGAACACCAGAGAAUUCACGCUAGUAGGUGAGCACAUUGAAUGUGGAGAAAGGUCACGCUAGAGCAUGUGGCCUCAUGAGUGCAGUGACUGGGGGGAAAGCCUUCAGUCCAAGGCCUGAACUCUUAGCUGAAGUUCGCCCUGGAGAAGGCCUCACUGGCCCUCACAGACUGAUGCAGGCAGGCCACGAGCUGUAUGUUUGACACAACCCGAGAGGGGCAUCAACUUGAAGUUGACACCAUGCAGUCCUAGUUAGAGAUUGUGAGCACAGGUUUCUCAGGAAGCUUCUAGAACUACACUGUACUGAACCUGCUCAGUCAGCCCGCCUUACAUGGCAGCAGGCUUUCUGCGAUAGAUGCCACCUCCCCCGCUCAGUAUAAGCUCUGCUGGCUGUCCCCUGCCGUCAGCCCUGGGGUGCUGUCGUUCUCUCCCAUCUGACUGGCCCCGUAGGACUAGGAUGGGCACCUAACAAGCCUUCUGACCAAGAGCCCAGCCUGCAUUUUGCUGAGGUUCUAACCUUCCACAGCCACUUUGGUUUCAUGAGUUGCUCAUGAUUUUAUUAGCCUCCAAGUCAACCUUUGUAGGAAGUAUUUGGCUCAGUUUGGGGUGGUUUGUGCAAUAAGAACAUUAAUCAUUUAAGCCAUUUUUAUCUUGGGGUUUCUAGUCAGCUGGUAAUGUUGAAAACAGGUGGACUCUGCAAGGAUAAAGAAGUGAACAAACUCAGGCCUCACCUCAGUGAGAGAUCGUGGCAGAGAAGUCACCAAGGUUUGCUGGAGCUAGACUGCAGGGUUUUUUAUCUAAUGGAAGCCAAUUUGUGGACCCAGAGGGUCCCCCUGAGAGGAUUGUUGUAAGAACCACCGCUGUUUUAGAGAGGGCAUAUAAGCCAGCUGGUGUCACUGAUUCCUCUGGGCAUCAGCUAGGGGGCCUGACACCAGAGGGGGAUGUCUGUCCUCAAUUUGCAUCCAGAAACGUCCCAAUGACUGUUUAGGAUAAAGCCUUUUGUCAAAAUUCUCACACCCUGGCAAGCGUAAAGGUUAAGCUCUUACACCUCCAGUGGCAUGCCAAUUGGGGACUGAGAGUGGAAACACAUAAUCCAGACAUGUGAUUUUCGCGACUAACAGAGCUCCUGGUAACUGAAAUGGAAACCCUUCCUGUUAGCAGUGCUCACUGUUCGGUGCAGCAGGGCCUCCCUCCCCUCCAGAGUUAAAAGGCAAGAUUGCUUUAUAAUUUUUCACAUGCAGCUUCGCAAUUUUAACGUUGUAAUUCCAGUACCCAUUCUUGUAUUUGUGGCCCUUCCUCCCUGAACUCCCAGGGCAUUUGAUUACUUUUUCAAUAUUCAGUUGGUGCUUUCUGGACUCUUGGUAAUUGGAAUCUUAGUCUGUUUACUGUAUUUUUUUACUCACCUUUUGUGGGUACAUAGUUUAUUGAGAAUCAUCCAAAAAAUAAAGAUGUACUUUUAAUUCCCAUAAAACACCUUUUGUUCCUCUAAUCGACUAACCACUCACAUUUUUUAAAGGGUUGGGGUUUUUGGUGUUCAGGUUCAACUAGCACCUAUGACUGUAAGACUAGAUUGUACUGUAAUAGAAACAUAGGCCACAACAUAACUUUAGUCUCUAUUAAAAUUCCCCAUGACUUUAAGGUGUAGACAGUUAAUAAAAACACCUUUGUUUGUACUAUUGUUUCCCAUUUCCCCCUCAUUAAAUACUUGAACUGUGGCCAAUUUCCCCACAGAGAACAUGAUUAAGUCAUCAAAUGUGAAUUCGGAAAGAGAUGUGUGUGCAAGAGGUCGUGACAACACCAUUAUAACCUGAGGAACACAGGAAUUAGUAAAAUAAUUAUGAAAGAAACGACUUUGAGUUUACUGUGCAAUGAAGAGUUAAGUAAAAAAAAUGCCAAAGUUGUCUAAUGUUUGAACAUCUGAAAGAAUGGCUUGGCACCUGCCUGGCUCCUUGGGAGAUAAGCCCUUAAAGCAUUCUGCCUCUUUCGUGCCCGAGGGGGCUUUGGGCUAGAUGGUUUCCUGCUAACUAUCAUUUAUGGUGGAUCUGCCACACAAGAGGCUCCUUAGAGAGAGAGAGAGAGAGAGAGAGAGACGACCAAGGCUUGGGUCUCACUGCCUUGGUCAUCUGUGCUUCCUGCACCAUGUCGCACUGCCGAGAAGGAAGCUGACAUGAGCUCUCCUGGCCUCUGCCCAGACAUUGUCCAGCCUGUGUCCUCACAAUAGAACUUUGCUCAGUUCUGAGAGUUCUCGUGAAAACCUGAGCUGGUCUUGGGGAUUGAAGAACUAAGACUACCUUUGUAUAUACCUCACUUUAAAAUAAGGUGCACGGUUUGAUGACAAAACCAAAAGUUCUUUUGUGUCAUUUGUAUGACUCAUCCCCCUUCAAAAGGAAUGCAUUGGAAAUGCCAGGAACCCAGCUCCUAUAUUUUUUCAUCAUAUACCUAAUUAGAUGUGUUCUCUCACCACCACCCCCUUACACAUAAACCCCCUGUAUCAAUGUCAUUUAACUUCUACAAAACAAUUUUCAAAAAAACGGCAGUACUUUUUUCAUUAAAAAUUAGGGUCACACCUCCUGUUACCUACAGAAAACCUGCCUUAACUUUAUAUAGCUGCUGCACACAAAUUACUGCCGCGGCAGGGGGCACAUGAGUGAAGUCCUUUCCCAGAGCUUUGGUCAGUUGCAGUGGGCUGGAGUAUGGUUCCCAGUCAUUAAAGCCCAACAGUGUAGCAUCUUGCUUUGCGGGUCAUUAAAAUCAGCCUCCUCUGCAAAUACUGCCUCCCUCUGCCACGUACUGUAAGGGCACCUGCAAGUACAUGGCUCAGAACCCUGAAUCGCAAUAAACGGAUGGUGCAUAUGUCUUUUUGAAUCUGGGGUCUUGUUUUCUUCGGGUAAAUUCCUAAGAGUGUAAUGACUGGGUCAAAUGGUAUUUCUAUUUAAAAUAAAGUUUUACCUCUAUAACUUGGCCAUUUACCUAUUAUACACAAUUUGACGCAUUCUAGAUUAAAAAUAACUUGAUUCUCUCGGAUAAUGUAUAUUAUGUUGACCACUGUUGGGGAAUCUCCACAAAUGUAGAAAAGCUAUUGAAUUAGCACGAAAACAAUGUGAUGGACAUCCCAACGCAAUACAUUGGAGACAGCGUAGAGACGAGAGAAAUCUCACCUUUUCCUUUGUUACACAGUUUACCCUAAACCUAACUGGUGAUUUGAGGUGGGGUCCUGUCUCCAAAGGAAUAGAAUCUCUCUUAUCUGACAGGUAGGUUAGUUGCAAUUAGAACCUGACGCCUAAAUCCACCCCUCCUGGCAUCUGGGAGCGCUCACCUUCCUCGACACCCGCUUUUCAAAGAGGUGGCACAGGACUCUUAAAAAGCCCUUCCAGUGGCUGCUUCCGCGUCGGUUUUAGAUUAUGCAUUAGCUACAUGGAAAAUUAUUCCCAACGUCUCCAUAAACUUUAUGGCUCAUAAAGGCCAGACUAACAGCCAAAAAGUUUCCUUCUUUCCUGCAAGUCGGCUUCCGUGGAGCGGGCAGGAUGUGGGCGCUCAGCGUGAGCAGGGGCAACGUGUACGCGCUUCGGAAAAUGGGCACAGCGGACAGGCAGCCUCCUGGACAACCGUUGACCGCUGGGACCAGCCCGGGGGCAGAAUGGGCCCAGCAAGGGAGGGACCCGCGCCACACAGCCGCGAGGCACAACGGGGUGGUGCAGGAUUAACCGCCCAGCGGGGUUCAGGUAGGCGGAGCCCAGGUUAGAACGAGGCCCAGGGGCCCUCAGGGUACCGAUGGCCACAGGCCUGCAACGCCCCUUAGAUUCGCCCGGCUGUUUUCCCGAUCAGCGGCGAAGCCGACCAGCCCCCGCGAAGGGCCGGGUUUUACUACCUCCCCCGAGGAGCCGGAAGGUUUGCCGGCAGGGCGCCCGCCACAGCCCCGUGAGGGAAGCGGAGACACGCCACCGUUUUCGCCGUUGCCCAGGGCACCCACCUACCCGAGACAAGGAGCCCCGCGCGGACGCACAGCCCUGGGUGGCCCCCGCGGUGCAUGCGGCUGGGAGCCCCGGCCUCGCGGCUCUCCGCGGGGCCAACCGCCCCCACCCCCGGGACGCACUAGGCGCCUGCGGGAGGGGGCGGAACGGCCCCCGGAUUACGGCCGCUGCCGCGAGGCGGGCCUCGUCCACCGGACGCUGCCACCCCAUCCGCCUGCGCCGCGCAGGCUCCGCGCGUCCAGCCCUCCGGCAGCAUCGUAGCCCAGGCCCCUCACCACGGAUGGACUACGGCGGCCAGAGGGGCGCGGGCGGGUGGCGUCCUUCGCGUGGGCCGCUGCGCCCUCGGGAUCUCGGGCGACGAGCCGGCGGUGCAGCGAGACGGGACGAGGCUGGCCGCUGGGGGUCACUGGUCUCUGCGCGCGGCCUCCAGGCCCUUGCGGUCCACGCGGUCGCGGGCGUGUGGCCGGGAGAACACGCUGGCACAGCGCUUCUUGCUGACGAGCAGGUGGGGAAAGUGGACCUCACGCUCCAGCAGCAGGGGUGGGGAAGGGGCCCGACAGCAAAUCCGCAGCCUCCGUUCCAGGGUCGCCGCCUAGGGCACGAGACCACCCAGGCCCAUGGCAGCGUCGCCUAGCCCCCCAUGGCGUUGGCGCCGGGGCCGUUCUCCACCGCAUACUUGGACCCAUCAGUUGCUUUGCUUUCCCAAGCAUCUGGCACCCGAACCCGGUGACGCUCGAGGCAGGGAGGGCGGGGAGACGGGUUGGCGGACCACUGAGAACCGCCCAGGGAGUGCACACCCCGUGAGAGCCGAGGCUCCGAAGGCCCAGCACGCGACUCCAAUGGGCCCCACAGCGCAGCACCCCCCCAGGUAGAGGCGGGGCAAGGCCCCGCACUCCCGGCACGCCCUCUGGGGGGGAGGCGCUGGAUGGGAGGGAGGGCGAGGGGACCCCGUGACCUUGCCCCCCUCCUCCGGGCGUCACACCCCUCCCGCGCGCUCGCCUCUCUCGACCAGGGCCCGCACUGCCCGCCCCGCACGCUCUCCUGAACCGAUCCUUCCCCAGCAGCAGCCUUGCUGGGACUCCCUACUUCCUUCCGCCAACCUCCACCGUCCCUCUCCAACGACUUGGGCCAGCCGGAGGCGAUCCAAGGGCCUCGCUGAGCCAUCCAACCAGCAGCAGUGAUGGCGCAGUGUGUACAAAAACGCAACGACUCACAGGCACACACUGGAGCACUGCAAGCCCCAUCGGGAAUGGGGUCAGCGGUUACCCGCGCCUGCCGGUAGGGAAGGCACCCACACACUCAGCCAGUCCGCGAGGCGCAGCAGCCCGAGACCUCGGAGGGCAUCGUCUCAGACCCGGUGUCGUUCAUCCUCGGUUAGCUGCACAGCAGUCGUGCCUCAAGAGGCAGGGGGACAUCGGCCAUGCAAGGAACACAGAACUGCACAGGCCAGUUUCAUUAGUUACCGGAAGUAACCAACCUUCUCUCCACCAAGUGCCAUGACCACCGCGUGGGAAUGCCCUCAGCAGUCGGCAUCGUUUAUGGCUAGAACUGGGGCAUCUUGUAGUCAUCUCCAAUCUCCUACUUUGGGCUGUGAUUAACAAAAACAUUCUCAGCAAAUGCUUUCAAUUCCCCCACGUAUUGCGCAAGUCCAAGUCUUUCACCAGUAGGUGCAAAAUACCAAAGCGAUAACCAUCACCUCUUAAUCAUGGCUUUAUCACUCCCAAACCAACAAAUUUGAACGGCAGUCCCCCCUUCCAUCACUUCCGGCUGCAGUAUCCAGGCAACGAGGGCCUGCUUUUGAAUAGUUUCCAAAGUAAAUGCUUACAAGGCCACAAGGACAAGCCACAAAAACACGAGGACACCAAGAGACGAGGACAAGGGACAGGUAGGGGACCACAUCGUGGCAGACCAUCCCCCAGGGUCAAACUACAAGCUUUCUCACUGUAGCAACGUACACCUUAUUGGAGCUGUAAUUACCGCAGCUGCUGGCAUCAGAUUUGCCCUCCAAGGAUCCUUGAUUAAAGGGGUCUCAUUCCAAUUGCAGGACUUCAGAAGAAUCCUAUUUUUCGUCACAACCUCUCCAGGUGAGGAGUGGUAAGAUGUGAUAAAUUGUUUCUCCGACUUCUAGGCGGAAUUGAAUCCUGAUUACUGUCACCCGUUGUCACCAGGGCAGGCACAGCAGCUACCGUCAGAAGUUGAUAGGACGUUCGAAUGAGCGGCACUCCCCGGGGAGCAUGCCACCGGGCCAGGUAGUCUAAGCCUGAGGCACUACACGGUAAAGCCACAGGCCCAUGCGCACCUGGGUACGCCUGGCUCAGUCUUUGAGGCAAAGAACGACG